This 392-nucleotide ribosomal RNA is filed under the name Thalassiosira sp. RNAcentral's name for it is "partial small subunit ribosomal RNA". It matches the Rfam family "Eukaryotic small subunit ribosomal RNA", at positions 582 to 975 of the family's 1831-position model. Lineage: Eukaryota; Bacillariophyta; Thalassiosirophyceae; Thalassiosirales; Thalassiosiraceae. The record is from RNAcentral.
AUUCCAGCUCCAAUAGCGUAUAUUAAAGUUGUUGCAGUUAAAAAGCUCGUAGUUGGAUUUCUGGCAGGAGUGACCGGUCACACACUCUGUGUGUGAACUCGCGUUGUCUCUGGCCAUCCUUGGGGAGAUCCUGUUUGGCAUUAAGUUGUCGGGCAGGGGAUACCCAUCGUUUACUGUGAAAAAAUUAGAGUGUUUAAAGCAGGCUUAUGCCGUUGAAUAUAUUAGCAUGGAAUAAUAAGAUAGGACUUCGGAACUAUUUUGUUGGUUUGCGUUACGAAGUAAUGAUUAAUAGGGACAGUUGGGGGUAUUCGUAUUUCGUUGUCAGAGGUGAAAUUCUUGGAUUUCCGAAAGACGAACUACUGCGAAAGCAUUUACCAAGGAUGUUUUCAUUA